AGUGAACGCUGGCGGCAGGCCUAACACAUGCAAGUCGAACGGCAGCACAGGGGUAGCAAUACCCUGGGUGGCGAGUGGCGGACGGGUGAGGAAUACGUCGGAAUCUGCCUAUUUGUGGGGGAUAACGUAGGGAAACUUACGCUAAUACCGCAUACGACCUACGGGUGAAAGCGGAGGACCUUCGGGCUUCGCGCAGAUAGAUGAGCCGACGUCGGAUUAGCUAGUUGGCGGGGUAAAGGGCCCACCAAGGCGACGAUCCGUAGCUGGUCUGAGAGGAUGAUCAGCCACACUGGAACUGAGACACGGUCCAGACUCCUACGGGAGGCAGCAGUGGGGAAUAUUGGACAAUGGGCGCAAGCCUGAUCCAGCCAUGCCGCGUGUGUGAAGAAGGCC
RNAcentral lists this ribosomal RNA (393 nucleotides) under uncultured bacterium. RNAcentral describes it as "bacterial SSU rRNA". It matches the Rfam family "Bacterial small subunit ribosomal RNA", at positions 29 to 416 of the family's 1533-position model. The record is from RNAcentral.